CAGGAUGAACGCUAGCUACAGGCUUAACACAUGCAAGUCGAGGGGCAGCAUUGGAGUAGCAAUACUCAGAUGGCGACCGGCGCACGGGUGAGUAACACGUAUCCAACCUGCCGCUUACUCGGGGAUAGCCUUUACGAAAGAAAGAUUAAUACCCGAUGGUAUAAAGAGUUCGCAUGUUCUCUUUAUUAAAGAAUUUCGGUAAGCGAUGGGGAUGCGUUCCAUUAGAUUGUUGGCGGGGUAACGGCCCACCAAGUCUACGAUGGAUAGGGGUUCUGAGAGGAAGGUCCCCCCACAUUGGAACUGAGACACGGUCCAAACUCCUACGGGAGGCAGCAGUGAGGAAUAUUGGUCAAUGGACGAGAGUCUGAACCAGCCAAGUAGCGUGAAGGAUGACUGCCCUAUGGGUUGUAAACUUCUUUUAUAAGGGAAUAAAGUGAGGGACGUGUCCCUUUUUGUAUGUACCUUAUGAAUAAGGAUCGGCUAACUCCGUGCCAGCAGCUGC
Molecule: ribosomal RNA, 502 nt
Filed under: uncultured bacterium
Lineage: Bacteria
Description: bacterial SSU rRNA
Rfam family: Bacterial small subunit ribosomal RNA
Source: RNAcentral